AGAGUUUGAUCCUGGCUCAGAUUGAACGCUGGCGGCAGGCCUAACACAUGCAAGUCGAGCGGUAGAGAGAAGCUUGCUUCUCUUAAGAGCGGCGGACGGGUGAGUAAUGCCUAGGAAUCUGCCUGGUAGUGGGGGAUAACGCUCGGAAACGGACGCUAAUACCGCAUACGUCCUACGGGAGAAAGCAGGGGACCUUCGGGCCUUGCGCUAUCAGAUGAGCCUAGGUCGGAUUAGCUAGUUGGUGAGGUAAUGGCUCACCAAGGCGACGAUCCGUAACUGGUCUGAGAGGAUGAUCAGUCACACUGGAACUGAGACACGGUCCAGACUCCUACGGGAGGCAGCAGUGGGGAAUAUUGGACAAUGGGCGAAAGCCUGAUCCAGCCAUGCCGCGUGUGUGAAGAAGGUCUUCGGAUUGUAAAGCACUUUAAGUUGGGAGGAAGGGCAGUAAAUUAAUACUUUGCUGUUUUGACGUUACCGACAGAAUAAGCACCGGCUAACUCUGUGCCAGCAGCCGCGGUAAUACAGAGGGUGCAAGCGUUAAUCGGAAUUACUGGGCGUAAAGCGCGCGUAGGUGGUUCGUUAAGUUGGAU
RNAcentral lists this ribosomal RNA (590 nucleotides) under Pseudomonas sp. LCY15. RNAcentral's name for it is "bacterial SSU rRNA". It matches the Rfam family "Bacterial small subunit ribosomal RNA", at positions 8 to 593 of the family's 1533-position model. Lineage: Bacteria; Pseudomonadati; Pseudomonadota; Gammaproteobacteria; Pseudomonadales; Pseudomonadaceae. The record is from RNAcentral.